GAUGAACGCUGGCGGCGUGCCUAAUACAUGCAAGUCGAGCGAACGGACGAGAAGCUUGCUUCUCUGAUGUUAGCGGCGGACGGGUGAGUAACACGUGGAUAACCUACCUAUAAGACUGGGAUAACUUCGGGAAACCGGAGCUAAUACCGGAUAAUAUUUUGAACCGCAUGGUUCAAAAGUGAAAGACGGUCUUGCUGUCACUUAUAGAUGGAUCCGCGCUGCAUUAGCUAGUUGGUAAGGUAACGGCUUACCAAGGCAACGAUGCAUAGCCGACCUGAGAGGGUGAUAGGCCGCCCUGGAACUGGGACACGGACCAGACUCCUACGAGAGGCAGCAGUAGGGAAUCUUCCGCAAUGGGCGAAAGCAUGACGGAGCAACGCCGCGUGAGUGAUGAAGGUCUUCGGAUCGUAAAACUCUGUUAUUAGGGAAGAACAUAUGUGUAAGUAACUGUGCACAUCUUGACGGUACCUAAUCAGAAAGCCACGGCUAACUACGUG
Molecule: ribosomal RNA, 497 nt
Filed under: uncultured bacterium
Lineage: Bacteria
Description: partial 16S ribosomal RNA
Rfam family: Bacterial small subunit ribosomal RNA
Source: RNAcentral